RNAcentral lists this long non-coding RNA (1807 nucleotides) under Elaeis guineensis (African oil palm). RNAcentral describes it as "long non-coding RNA (EGUI_LNC052084)". The record is from RNAcentral. Lineage: Eukaryota; Viridiplantae; Streptophyta; Magnoliopsida; Arecales; Arecaceae.
CGCUAAAGCCAACUUCGGUUAGAAACUUCUUUUGCAGGUCCUGCUGCCACUGCCCCACCAUUCCCGACUUGUAAUCACUCCAGCCAUCUCGACCUCGAGACGAAUUUCUGCAUCAAUAGGAUGAUUAAAUGUUGAGGAAAACAAUAGCAGGCUAUUCAAUACUCCAUGGAUGAAAAUACAAAGCCGACACAGAAUAAAUGGAAUAAGGUUGCUUUUUAUAUAAUUCUUACUAUUGAAGAUAUUUUGUUUCUAAAUGUGCCGAUGACAGAGCCACCACCUCCUUUCCACUCCAAAUGAGAACCCUUGCUUAACUUUUUCAGGUAACAUAUGUACAAUUCCUAAAUGACAACUAUAACAAUGUAUUUUUAGAAUUAAUCAAGGCUUUAAUUAUUCUACCACUUGCAAAUGCCUUAUCUAGCUUUACAGACAUUUAGGCAGAAAAAUAGCCAGUAGGAGUGUAUAUAUCAUAAGAUGGGAUGCAGGAAUUUCGACUACUCGAGGUCCCAAUAUCACUAAAUUUUCACUGUGGUGUACUGGAUAUCUAGUAUCAGUAUAUUGAUAUGGGAUACUACAUCAGUAUUAUGCUUAGCGAUCAUGCUUCAAUCAGUUCGCUAUUUCAGGGAAUCUGGAACAUAAAACAAUGCUGUGUUUGACAUUCACUUUGUUGUGCAUCUUGCAUACAAUGCCAUCAUUGAUAUAAGUGUUUCUAGAAAUCUAUACACCAUUUGCCACAAACUGAUUCCUGCUGUGUGCACUUUGCAGGUCCUCAGCAUAGGACCACCAUGGAAACCGCCGAAUACAUGCUAAGCAAUGCAUGUUGAUGACAUGCACAAAGAUGUAGCAUUUUGCAUCAUUAUUCAAUUCAGACUCUCUAGCAUUCUUCAUCAUCUAACUGUGAUUCAUGAAUGAACAGCAUGCCAAAUUCAGGGCAUUCACUUGAUUCUCAACAGUUCAUUAAUAAAUAGUUGCUUCCAAAAAAACUACCAUUACUAUGCAAUAUAGUUAAUUCAUCUAGAUACUUGAACAUGGUUGCCUCAACAUUUGCUCCUAAAUGGUAAUUCAUGGUUGAAGUUUCUGCUGUUCUUUUCCCUUCACCACAACAACUCCUAACACUUACGAACACCAAGCAUCAACACAAGGUUUGAGAGGCAAUUCAAAGAUCACAAAGUAUCAAAGAACUCCUCAGCACACAAAAAAAGUAUCAAUUAGCAUGUAUCUUAACUAUAGGGUUGACAUUGCCCCAAUAUGUCUCCUUUUGUGUGUGUUCAAGUGGAUUUCCAUAAACCCUCACUGGUAUUCGCUAAGCCCAGCAAAUUUCCCAUCACAUUUGUCUUGUAAUCGUAGUUAAGAAUUCAAACUUCAACUACAUCAAGCAUCCCAUAAUUUGCAAUGACAAAGGACAGAUCGAGGAACAAUUAUAAAUUAAACUCGUCUCAUAAAGAAACAAAACCGGAAUUAUAAAUCAAAAUAGUCUCCAAAAAGAACAAGAAGAAGAACCGGCGAAACAGGGAGCACGAAAGGCACGACGAAGUGGUGGCGAUCAGCUCGAACCUAGGACUCUGGAGGUUCUCCUUCCGCCCCGUGAAGAAUAAACGAUGACGUUGACGCUGUCCCCACGAACCCCGCCCCGACCGUCACCACGAUCUCCAUUCCGUUGGCGGAAGAGGAGGAGAAGUAGGGGGUGGGGGAGGAAGGAGGAGGAGGAUUAUGCUGUUUCGCUGAUGGAUUUUGUUCGGCUAUUCACUUGGGUGGAAUUGAGGGAAUGUCUGGUUCGCGACCGAAAUCGAAACAGGAAUCAGAAUUGAUU